RNAcentral lists this microRNA (19 nucleotides) under Corchorus olitorius. RNAcentral describes it as "gma-miR151". The record is from RNAcentral. Lineage: Eukaryota; Viridiplantae; Streptophyta; Magnoliopsida; Malvales; Malvaceae.
UAUGAGAAAAAGCCAUGCC